This 305-nucleotide ribosomal RNA is filed under the name uncultured bacterium. Its description in RNAcentral is "bacterial SSU rRNA". It matches the Rfam family "Bacterial small subunit ribosomal RNA", at positions 338 to 635 of the family's 1533-position model. The record is from RNAcentral.
CCUACGGGGGGCAGCAGUGGGGAAUUUUGGACAAUGGGCGCAAGCCUGAUCCAGCUAUUCCGCGUGUGGGAUGACGGCCCUCGGGUUGUAAACCACUUUAGUAGAGAACGAAAAGGAGCUAUCGAAUAAAUAGCUCUGCUGACGGUACUCUAAGAAUAAGCACCGGCUAACUACGUGCCAGCAGCCGCGGUAAUACGUAGGGUGCGAGCGUUAAUCGGAAUUACUGGGCGUAAAGGGUGUGCAGGCGGCUGAGUAAGACAGAUGUGAAAUCCCCGGGCUUAACCUGGGAACCGCAUAUGUGACUG